RNAcentral lists this long non-coding RNA (428 nucleotides) under Oncorhynchus mykiss (rainbow trout). RNAcentral's name for it is "lncRNA (ENSOMYG00000048299.1)". Lineage: Eukaryota; Metazoa; Chordata; Actinopteri; Salmoniformes; Salmonidae. The record is from RNAcentral.
AUGGGCUCUACAGGCUCCAGGUCCAGGCUCAGUCAGGUGGCCCCGUGUCACAGUCAGACAGAGGGAGACCUGGACCAGCAGGCCAGUCAUCCCACUUCACAUUGGACCAUCCCUGCCAUACCAACCCCACUGGAGCAUCAACAUGAGCCGCUGGGACAUAGGAGGACUACCCAGCUGCCCCCACUGAAACUGGAAAACCCUGCAACCUUCCCACCGCUAUCUACAGGGCAGGGACCGGAGAGAUGGGGGUGUCCUCCACUUUUCUACACCCAGCCAGGGGGCACACGGUGGCACCGGCCGCCUGCCGCAGGGAGGUCUCCUGGAGGCACAGAUGGUCCUCAGUCAACAGGCCCAGCAGAGACAGAGAGCCCACCAGAGACAAGUCAGAGAACAGCGGGAGCACGAGAGGAUCUUCUAUACAGAUAAUU